Molecule: long non-coding RNA, 936 nt
Filed under: Hordeum vulgare
Lineage: Eukaryota; Viridiplantae; Streptophyta; Magnoliopsida; Poales; Poaceae
Description: long non-coding RNA (HVUL_LNC017359)
Source: RNAcentral
CUAUACCCCUCAGGGAAGGGGAGCAUGCAUUGUCAGUUAUUUGGUCAGGUUCACUUAUUCUUGUCAGCUAAUAACAUCAAGUUUGCUUCCGUUGGCUGUAGCAUAGUGCCGAGUGUUUCAAAAUUCUCAGACAUGCCCGUUGUAAGAACGUUUUGUUCGAUUAUGUGGGUUAGAGUUAGAUAGGUUAACAGUAUGAAAUAACAUUGUAGGAGGAUUACUUUGAAAGGUUUUUCUAAAUUUACUUUUCUAUUGUGGUUGGAGAGUUUUGGCAAGUGCUUGCUACUAGCACAAUACACUAACAGUUUGAUAUAAUUGAAAGAGAGCCAGAUUAAGGAGCAGCACUUACUUUUUUUCGAAAAGGAGGCUUAGCCCCGGCCUCUGCAUCGAGUGAUGCAUACAACCAUAUAUAAAAGAGAGCCAAAAUCCGGCAUAGUACAAGUCAAAGUGCAGCCAUAAGGCGGUAAACCCAAAAUAUACAAGGCGAGAAUUACACCCAAACCGGUGAUGACGUAAAGAUCUAGAUGACUAAACACCUAUUCUAUUAAUAUGACGUCAUCCAAACCGGUUGAAGAUACCCUGUCCUACCAUCUUCCAUCGGACACACCCAGUAUCCAAAUGCUCCCUGGCUGCCACAUGAGUGAGUAAUGACCACGUGCGAAUCAGUGCGGUAGCCUUGAAGAUAACCUGAAGAAAGUGAAUAUCGCGUAAUCUGUUAAAAACUAAAUCAUUCCUGCUAUUCCAAAGAGCCCACAAAAGAGCACAGGUUCCAAUACGAAUAAGUUUAGCAAUUUGAACAUGCACUCGUGUAACACCCAAAAUGCGAUCCUAUCCUCAAUCUGGCACGAGGGCCUCGUCAGGGAUAGAAGUGCAUCUCGUCGUGUCGCAAGAAUGGAUAUCGUUACAAGUACAUGUACUGAAAAGAAGAGAUAUAUAAAG